GUGGAGCUCAGUGGUUAAGAGCACUGACUGUCUUCCAGAGGUCCUGAGUUCAAUUCUCAGCAACCACA
RNAcentral lists this transfer RNA (68 nucleotides) under Rattus norvegicus (Norway rat). It matches the Rfam family "tRNA". Rfam says of the family: Transfer RNA (tRNA) molecules are approximately 80 nucleotides in length. Their secondary structure includes four short double-helical elements and three loops (D, anti-codon, and T loops). The record is from Rfam by way of RNAcentral. Lineage: Eukaryota; Metazoa; Chordata; Mammalia; Rodentia; Muridae.